AGAGUGGGAUGCAGCCAAGGAUGACUUGCCAGCACCUCAUAAUGAAGAGGGAAGACAGACAUCACGAAUUGCCUGGAAAUCCUUGGCUCCAUCUUGCUCUCU
Molecule: microRNA precursor, 102 nt
Filed under: Setaria italica (foxtail millet)
Lineage: Eukaryota; Viridiplantae; Streptophyta; Magnoliopsida; Poales; Poaceae
Source: RNAcentral